This 1361-nucleotide ribosomal RNA is filed under the name uncultured bacterium. RNAcentral's name for it is "bacterial SSU rRNA". It matches the Rfam family "Bacterial small subunit ribosomal RNA", at positions 8 to 1352 of the family's 1533-position model. The record is from RNAcentral.
AGAGUUUGAUCCUGGCUCAGAACGAACGCUGGCGGCGCGUCUUAAGCAUGCAAGUCGGACGGCAAGAAGGGAGCUUGCUCCCUUCCUAGAGUGGCGGACUGGUGAGUAACACGUGGGUGACAUACCCCUGAGACCGGGAUAGCCUUUAGAAAUAAGGGAUAAUACCGGAUGAGACCGUAACCGUCAGAGGGUUACGAGGAAAGGAGCUAUGGCUCCGCUGAGGGAAUGGCCCGCGGCCCAUUAGCUUGUUGGUAGGGUAACGGCUUACCAAGGCGAUGAUGGGUAUCCGGCCUGAGAGGGUGAACGGACACAUUGGGACUGAGAUACGGCCCAGACUCCUACGGGAGGCAGCAGCUAAGAAUAUUCCGCAAUGGACGAAAGUCUGACGGAGCGACGCCGCGUGGAUGAUGAAGGUCGAAAGAUUGUAAAAUCCUUUUAGGAGUGAAGAAUAAGAGGUGCAGGGAAUGGCAUCACGGUGACGGUAGCUCCUGAAUAAGCAACGGCUAAUUACGUGCCAGCAGCCGCGGUAACACGUAAGUUGCGAGCGUUGUUCGGAAUUAUUGGGCGUAAAGGGUAUGUAGGCGGUCGUGCAAGCUUGGUGUGAAAGGCAGGGGCUCAACCCCCUGGACUGCAUUGAGAACUGCAAGACUUGAAUUUGCUGAAGGGCAGCCCGGAAUUCCAAGGUGUAGGGGUGAAAUCUGUAGAUAUCUGGAAGAACACCAAUGGCGAAGGCAGGCUGCUAGCAGAUGAUUGACGCUGAGGUACGAAAGUGCGGGGAGCAAACAGGAUUAGAUACCCUGGUAGUCCGCGCAGUAAACGAUGUGCACUAGGUGUCGGAGCAUGAGCUUCGGUGCCGGAGCAAACGUGAUAAGUGCACCGCCUGGGGAGUAUGCCCGCAAGGGUGAAACUCAAAGGAAUUGACGGGGGCCCGCACAAGCGGUGGAGCAUGUGGUUUAAUUCGAUGGUACGCGAGGAACCUUACCUGGGUUUGACAUACACAGGAAUUAUAUAGAGAUAUGUAAGCGCAGCAAUGCGCCUGUGAACAGGUGCUGCAUGGCUGUCGUCAGCUCGUGCCGUGAGGUGUUGGGAUAAGUCCCGCAACGAGCGCAACCCCUACUGCCAGUUACCAGCAUGUAAAGAUGGGGACUCUGGCGGAACUGCCGGUGACAAACCGGAGGAAGGUGGGGAUGACGUCAAGUCAUCAUGGCCCUUAUGCCCAGGGCUACACACGUGCUACAAUGGUUGAUACAAAGCGAAGCGAGGCCGCGAGGCGGAGCGAAACGCAAAAAAGCAAUCGUAGUCCGGAUUGGAGUCUGAAACCCGACUCCAUGAAGUUGGAAUCGCUAGUAAUCGCGCAUCAG